This 30-nucleotide non-coding RNA is filed under the name Cricetulus griseus (Chinese hamster). The record is from RNAcentral. Lineage: Eukaryota; Metazoa; Chordata; Mammalia; Rodentia; Cricetidae.
AUUUGAUAAAUAACUGUAGAGAUUCCCUCA